Molecule: long non-coding RNA, 1588 nt
Organism: Esox lucius (northern pike)
Lineage: Eukaryota; Metazoa; Chordata; Actinopteri; Esociformes; Esocidae
Source: Ensembl
GGGAUUGUCACUAGGGAACUGUUAAUGGAAUCUUGACUUAUUUGAGGCCUUACAAUUAUUCUGAAAAAAAAAAUCAGGAUGUUUAUGAUUUACACUGUCAGGUGUUUUUAGUGUUUCUAUAAAUAUAUAAACAUAUUUAAAGUCUCCAUGGACAACUCCAGUGUGCUCAUAGUGUAUAUACUCUAAAUGAGUUACUACAGAUAUUAACCAGUUUAUUAUAUACAAACAUGAUAGGUAGUGCAUAACUGAUUUUUACUAAAUUUGAUUCUUAUUAUGCUCAGUUCACCACCUGGUAACUUGCACAUCCUUGAGGGAUGUGAGCACUCAGGAGUUUAGAAAGCUGGCCCACUUUGGCUGGCUUGAGAGUGUGGUGAACCUCAACAAGAUGCCCUGGCCUGUAAGGGAAGAAAUGUGUCCCAUUUGCUGAGUUAUUUUUUUAAAGACUGUGGGAUACUCCAGUACCGGGAAGCGUGGAGCUCCCCAGGGAAAUUCUAUGGACACCUGAUUUCCUAGACAGUGCCCAGAAAGUCAAUUUUAAGGCAGUAGAAUGGACUGUGUAUUAGGCUUUUUUACCGUUUAUUUAUACUAGUUAUCUUACUGAGAAUAAAUCUUUUGUUAAUGGACAUUAAAACAUAGUUAAGAGUUGAUUUGGUGUUGAGCUUGACUGCUUGGGAAAUUGUUUGUUUGAUCAUUUUGGCAUAUCUAUGCACAUGUAGGAGGAGGAGCAAACGGAUCAUUCCAGGUCCACACCUGCGGAUUACCUGGUUUGGGGGGCCCGUUGCUGUCCCUGUCCUUGUCCACCUGGUCAUACUUCAGACCUAGUCUAAAAUCAAAUAGACUCUAGAUUUAGCCCAGAGAAAUGCAUUUAUUAUUCCAAUUGGACUCUUAAUAUCUAACCCGGCACAGCCAGAAGAGGACUGGUCACCCCUCUGAGCCUGGGUCCUCUCUAGGUUUCUUCCUAAAAUUCGACCUUCUUAGUUUUUCCUAGCCACCGCAAUUCAACACUACUGUUGUUUGCUCCUUGGGGUUUAAGGCCGGGUGUCUCUGUAAAGCACUUUGUGACAACUGCUGUUGUAAAAAGGGCUUUAUAAAUACAUUUGAUUGAUUGAUCCCAGCCACCCAUGCCACGGACUGUUUACCAACCUGCCAUCAGGCAGAAGAUACAGGAGCAUUCAGUCCAAAACUAACAGGCUACAGGACAGCUUUUUCCACAGGCUGUAAGGCUGCUCAACUCAGGGACCCCUCUUCCCUUCCAUCCAUAGCCCAUUCACACCUGUCACUUAUAUCAUGCACACCUGUAACUUCUGCAUUACACUAUGGUUGUAUAGUUGUAUUGUUAUUAUUAUUUUUGUAUAGUGUUUUUACUGAUUGAUUGUGUUAUCUUCUUAUUUUUUUUUAAUUAUAAUUACUGUCACUUUUCAACUUAACUGCACAUUCGGGAGUAGGAAAAUCAAGCAUUUCAUUGCUGUAACUUGUUACUGCAAAUGACAAAUAAACCUUUUGACUUUGGACAUAAUAUAAUCAUUGUUGAUGUACAGCUAGAAAUUGGUAUGGCCUUUUAAGAGUUUUGAGGUAGGAUGGUAUAAAC